UCCUUGUUUCCAAGGCAGUCUCGUUAGAGUGCUCCCGAAGGAUAGCAACUAACGACAGAGGUUGCGCUCGUUAAAGGACUUAACCCAACAUCUCACGACACGAGCUGACGACAGCCAUGCAGCACCUGUUCAUUUGUCUCGGUUACCCGAGAAAGAGACAUCUCUGCCCCGUUCAAAUGUAUGUCAAGCCUAGGUAAGGUUCCUCGCGUAGUGUCGAAUUAAACCACAUGUUCCACCGCUUGUGCGGACCCCCGUCAAUUUCUUUGAGUUUUAGUCUUGCGACCGUACUCCCCAGGCGGAUCACUUAUCGCGUUAGCUACGAUACCAAGCUCCUCAAGGGAACCUGACAUCCAGUGAUCAUCGUUUACGGCGUGGACUAC
Molecule: unclassified non-coding RNA, 380 nt
Filed under: uncultured bacterium
Lineage: Bacteria
Description: contains 16S-23S intergenic spacer region
Source: RNAcentral